CAGAGAGCAGUGAUUGGUCAGACCAUAGAUAAUAUAGAAGACAGCUCGCUAGCGUAUCUAGUCUGUGUGUAUCUAUGGUCGGCACGUCUGGUAGCAUCUCUGGCUGCUGUUGAUCUUGUUUUUGGAGUAAAACACGGUGGAAACUGAAUUAGUGAGGAUGACUCCUGCUCCUGUCAUCUCUAAGCUCCUCACACAUCUUUACCUGCACAUGAGGAAAAUCACUCCUGUAGAAUGCAGAUGUUCAGAGGGAGAUGAUGCCACAUCUGGUCCAGCUGAUGGAAGGUCUUGAAGUUCUCUGACUGGCCUCGACUGAAGAUGGUCGUCUCACUGGAUUUAAGCUGCACAAUGAGGGACGUCUGCAGAGACUGAGAAAGAGUCUCACCACAUCCUGACAUGAGGAAAAAGACUUUAUUGAAGACUACAAUGAGAACAACUAUCAGACAGCAGACGGCUGCAUUCAAGUCUGUAGCUGCUGAAUUCAUGGAUGAAUCAUCUGGCACUAGAGAAGAAGACCAUCAAACAUCCAUGUCAGCUGAUGGAGGUCCAAGAGUCUCAUCAAACAAACAACCUACAGAGUGAAGACCUCAAAUCUGAUUGGACGGCCUCCUAUUCAGCCACGUGCUACAGGAGGAGCCCUACGAGGACGAGCUGGUCCACCUGAUGGCGGCCAGUCGCUGCGGUUCAAAGCCAACACCGACUACGUGGACUUCUACUGGACCACACGGAGGCCUUCAAACCGGACCAACAAGUUCAGUGACUCCCCGACUCGUGGGUCUGAGGACGCCGCCGAGCCUCGGUCCAGCCGGCCUACUGUCUGUGGGUGUUUGAGUGCUGAGAGGUUUGUGGAUGCAUGUGAACGUGUCUGUGUUGAAACAGCAGCUUUUGACUCAGUAACGCUGAGAAAAACCAAGAGCUCCUUUAUUUGUGACUUCCACUAAAAAAAUAUUCCUCCAUACUGACUUUUUUGGUCUACAUUGAAGGAUUUUUCCUAAACCACCCUUUCAGGUCUAUAGUUGAGGUUUUAGGUGGAAUAUUCCUUUUAACCAGCCCCUCUGUCGCUCUGAGGAUUUUGGAUGGAAUACUCGGUUAAACCAACAUUUUAGGUGCAUGUCCAAGGAUUUUUGGUGGAAUGUUCCUUUAAGGUGGAUGUUUGAGGACCUUGUAGGUGGAAUACUUCCUGAAACCAACAUUUUAGGUCAACAUUCAAAGAUUUAAGGUGGAAUAUUCCUUUAAACCAACCUAAAUUUCAUGUUUUGGUCAUUAUCAAGUGGGAAACCUCAAUCCAGACUCCUCAUAAUGACGUUUGAGAUUUAUGCUGCUGUUAUUUGUUUAGUCCAGGCUAAAUGACAGAAAUCCACAACUGUAAUUUUAUUUCAGGACUCGGUUAUUAAAUGUCAAAACAAUCCAUGUGACUCUAAAAACUCAACAGCUUUACAAACUCUAAGAUUAAACUCUCCAC
This is a long non-coding RNA of Amphiprion ocellaris (clown anemonefish), 1459 nucleotides long. Lineage: Eukaryota; Metazoa; Chordata; Actinopteri; Pomacentridae. The record is from Ensembl.